GACGAACGCUGGCGGCGUGCUUAACACAUGCAAGUCGAACGGUGAAGCGCCUUCCUUUUUGGUGGGUGUGGAUGAGUGGCGAACGGGUGAGUAACACGUGAGUAACCUGCCCCCUUCUUCUGGAUAACCGCAUGAAAGUGUGGCUAAUACGGGAUAUUCUGGGUCUGUCGCAUGAUGGGUCUGGGAAAGAUAUUGUUUCGGUGGGGGAUGGGCUCGCGGCCUAUCAGCUUGUUGGUGGGGUGAUGGCCUACCAAGGCGGUGACGGGUAGCCGGCCUGAGAGGGUGGACGGUCACACUGGGACUGAGACACGGCCCAGACUCCUACGGGAGGCAGCAGUGGGGAAUAUUGCACAAUGGGCGCAAGCCUGAUGCAGCGACGCCGCGUGAGGGAUGGAGGCCUGCGGGUUGUGAACCUCUUUCGCCAGUGGAGCAGGCCUGCCUCGUUUGUGGGUGGGUUGACGGUAGCUGGAGAAGAAGCGCCGGCUAACUACGUG
This 494-nucleotide ribosomal RNA is filed under the name uncultured bacterium. RNAcentral describes it as "partial 16S ribosomal RNA". It matches the Rfam family "Bacterial small subunit ribosomal RNA", at positions 28 to 507 of the family's 1533-position model. The record is from RNAcentral.